Molecule: ribosomal RNA, 491 nt
Filed under: uncultured bacterium
Lineage: Bacteria
Description: partial 16S ribosomal RNA
Rfam family: Bacterial small subunit ribosomal RNA
Source: RNAcentral
AGUGAACGCUGGCGGUAGGCCUAACACAUGCAAGUCGAACGGCAGCACAGUAAGAGCUUGCUCUUACGGGUGGCGAGUGGCGGACGGGUGAGGAAUACAUCGGAAUCUACUUUUUCGUGGGGGAUAACGUAGGGAAACUUACGCUAAUACCGCAUACGACCUACGGGUGAAAGCAGGGGAUCUUCGGACCUUGCGCGAUUGAAUGAGCCGAUGUCGGAUUAGCUAGUUGGCGGGGUAAAGGCCCACCAAGGCGACGAUCCGUAGCUGGUCUGAGAGGAUGAUCAGCAACAGUGGAACUGAGACACGGUCAAGACUCCUACGGGAGGCAGCGGUGGGGAAUAUUGGACAAUGGGCGAAAGCCUGAUCCAGCCAUACUGCGUGGGUGAAGAAGGCCUUCGGGUUGUAAAGCCCUUUUGUUGGGAAAGAAAAGCAGCAGGUUAAUACCCCGCUGUUCUGACGGUACCCAAAGAAUAAGCACCGGCUAACUUCGU